Molecule: long non-coding RNA, 1978 nt
Organism: Cyprinus carpio (common carp)
Lineage: Eukaryota; Metazoa; Chordata; Actinopteri; Cypriniformes; Cyprinidae
Exons: 2
Source: RefSeq, a predicted model, not a curated record
UACAAGAUCGAUGGAACUCUCUACCUUACCUUGUCCUGGAGAAGUUGCAGAAUCUGCCUGUGUACAGGGUGAAGCCAAAAUCAGGAACAGGAGGUGUGAGAACUUUGCACCGGGAUCACUUGUUGCCAAUUGGAGAAGAAGUGAGGAUAAACUUACCUGCUGAAAGGGAAGAAGUUCCACGUCACAUGGUGACCAGAUCCAAAACUGUCAAAAGGACACAGAAAAAAGCAAUAAGACAUGAAGUGGACCCAGAAAGUUGUAAAUGUGUGGAUAUAACUUCUGACAGUGACGACAGUAGUCAUUGUGCAUAUUACCCAGUUGAACAAACAGUAGACCUUGGAACACUAUCUUUUCCAUCAUAUGAGAGGGAGAAAGUGAAGAGCCCUACUAGGUCUCAAAAGGAUCCUGCUCAGGUGGAAGUGACUGGAGGAGAUUUGUCACAUGAUGAUGAUGUGGAAAGUGUUUCAGCCCAGAUGCUGGAGAACUUGGGGGAUUCAGUUUCUGAUAAAGAAGUCAAUGAAUCAGUGAAUGUUACAAGAGAAGAAGAAGAGGGAAGAGUUGAAAAUCGUCCAAAGAGGAUGACAAAACCAGUUCAGAAACUAAGUUAUGAUGCACUUGGGAAAUCUACUGAUAGACCCUUAACAAUCAUAUAUAGGGGUAUGGUAGUGAAAAUUCAAGAGUCUUCUAAGGUGAAGAGUGCUUGCAAUACAUUGUGGUGUCACCCAAUGGCCACAUGUGAACAUUGUGUUAAUGUGCAUCCAAACCUGAAGUCUGAAGUUAUGCUACAGUUGUAGUUAAGAACCUCAUGGGGACAUGAGUAUUUCAGUAGGGGGAGAGUGUAACCCAGUUAGGGUUAUUAUUUUGAGUUAAUAACAGAAUGGGUUAAUGAUGGAUAAAAUAAGCAAGUUAUUAUUGAGUAAAUAAUAUCUAAUGCAUGAGAAGGGUUAAUUUGGAAUACAUAAGAUGGGAGUACAUAAUUUAUGCUUAUGUACAUGUGUUAUUUUGUGUUUCAGUUGAGAACUACAUUUUAAAGCACUGUUUCUUUAAGAAAUACGGUGAUUCUUAAAGUUUGUAUGUAAUGCACUUGCAGAAAAUGUGCUUUUGCCUAGCAAGUUAGUAUUAUUUUUUGCUGAUAGGUUGUUGUUUUGUUUGUUCCCACCCUCACGUGUGAGAGUGUGAUUCUGAUUGGACGAGAUGGAAAAAAAGGUGAACAGAGAGGGACGCACGAGAGUGUUGUUCAGAUGGUGGAGAAGAAAAUGUACAUGUAAACGCUGUAUAAGUCGUUGAAACUUACAUUUCUUCAUAUCGGAGAGUCUAAGGACAUUCAUGAAAGUGUAUGCACGUUACUCUGCACGAGUAUAAGCCGGUUUUCUUUUGUAGUGUUGAGUUCAGUCGUUAUUGUGAGAAUACACGAUAGAUAAUCGGACAUUCAGGUACACUGGACUGCAUUAAAGUUUAUUUUGUUUCAUCUAACGAGUCUUGCUGGAUCAACAAAGACCCAGAUAGCAUUCUAAAUCCCCGAGUGAUUUAGAAUACCUCUGGCGCCGUGGGACGUGAUCAGCUCAACAGCGUCAUAGUGAAGUGGCCAUUUGUUGUUUCACGGCCUCAACGAUCUCUAGCAACGUCCAGGCCUGCAACGGGGAGGGGUUGGGACUUGCGAGGUGUGUAUGUAUGUGCGCGCACGUGUCUAUGUGAGUGGCCACUCAAACGUUAAAACUGGUACUGUUUCAACUAUUGUUUGUGAAACGAGUAUUUAUUGAUAUUAUGUUUAUUUGAGAUAUUAAGGAAGUGUUGAACUGUCAUAAUUGGUUAUUUAAAGUGAUUGCAUAUUUUCUUAAAAGGGAAAAAAGACACAAGACAAGUGUAUGGUUUAAUUUGAAGUUUAUUGAACAUUUGACAUUUAAACACAUAUUUUCACAUUUAUUUAUUUUGUUUUACUGUGUAUAAAUAAACCUAAAGGUUAAUUUUGUUAUACUUA